Molecule: transfer RNA, 71 nt
Filed under: Microcaldota archaeon
Lineage: Archaea; Nanobdellati; Microcaldota
Description: tRNA-His
Rfam family: tRNA
About the family: Transfer RNA (tRNA) molecules are approximately 80 nucleotides in length. Their secondary structure includes four short double-helical elements and three loops (D, anti-codon, and T loops). Further hydrogen bonds mediate the characteristic L-shaped molecular structure. tRNAs have two regions of fundamental functional importance: the anti-codon, which is responsible for specific mRNA codon recognition, and the 3' end, to which the tRNAs corresponding amino acid is attached (by aminoacyl-tRNA synthetases). tRNAs cope with the degeneracy of the genetic code in two manners: having more than one tRNA (with a specific anti-codon) for a particular amino acid; and 'wobble' base-pairing, i.e. permitting non-standard base-pairing at the 3rd anti-codon position.
Source: RNAcentral
GCCGUGGUAGUGUAUUGGUUGCAUUCAGGCCUGUGGAGCCUGCAGGCCGGGUUCGAGCCCCGGCCACGGCC